CUAACACAGACAGAGCGUCUGAUCUUCAAUCAUGAUGGCUGGCUGUCCAUCGCACUCUGCAGAGAUGUGUCAAUCAAUCAAUAUUGAAGCAAUGCAGAGUGGCCAGCAAUCUAGCUCACAUCUAAAGAUCAAGUGAGCCAAGUCUCUGUUCGUCAAACUGAGCAGAGGAAAUGUCUCCAAGCUGUCGUUGUUGAAGCUCUGGAGACCGUCAAGCAAGCUGCUUUGACAACUCUGUCAACUUUCUGUGUACAGAUCAAAAUCCAGACAGAGAGUGUCGGAUCUCACACGGAGUCAGCGUCCAUCACUGGUAGAGUGUCACCGCCUUCAAAUUCCAGACAAUGAGUGUCGAACCGAUCAUCACCAGUCAAGCAUCCUUGUUGCAGAUCAAAAUCCAGACAGAGAGUGUCGGAUCUCACACGGAGUCAGCGUCCAUCACUGGUAGAGAUGCACCACCUUGUAGUAUACUUUGUAGUUAUUUGUAUAUUAUAGGGAUAUAGUUAGAAUUAAUUUUGUGGUACAUCGCUCACACUAUUUGUUGUGUGGUGAAUCGCUGACACUUUUUGUUGUGUGGUGAACGCUUACACUUUUUGUUGUGUGGUGAA
Asterias rubens (European starfish) is the source of this 602-nucleotide long non-coding RNA. RefSeq lists it as uncharacterized. Lineage: Eukaryota; Metazoa; Echinodermata; Asteroidea; Forcipulatida; Asteriidae. The transcript is spliced from 4 exons. The record is from RefSeq and is a predicted model, not a curated record.